GACGGGGGAUGCAAGCGUUAAUCGGAAUUACUGGGCGUAAAGGGCGCGUAGGCGGUGGGUUACGUCUGCCGUGAAAUCCCCGGGCUCAACCUGGGAAUGGCGGUGGAAACGGGCUGACUGGAGUAUGGGAGAGGGUGAUGGAAUUCCAGGUGUAGCGGUGAAAUGCGUAGAGAUCUGGAGGAACACCAGUGGCGAAGGCGGUCACCUGGCCCAAUACUGACGCUGAGGCGCGAAAGCGUGGGGAGCAAACAGG
RNAcentral lists this ribosomal RNA (253 nucleotides) under uncultured bacterium. RNAcentral's name for it is "partial 16S ribosomal RNA". It matches the Rfam family "Bacterial small subunit ribosomal RNA", at positions 524 to 776 of the family's 1533-position model. The record is from RNAcentral.